AACAGACAUGCCGGAAUUUUAGACAGUUGUGUUGACUCUGGCCUUUUUUUUUACCAGCUUGCAGGCUCGUGGAUUUCCCUACAAUGCCAAGAAGAGUGAGAGGAUAGAAGUGUUUUUGGCAAACUCAAAGACACACACGAUUAGGAUGCAAUGCUGUGGAGGGGCGCCCACAUGGGAAUUGAGUCCACGUGGGAAUACUUCUAACAGGGAGGCAGUGUCGGUAAUAUUUGGAAGGCUUCUGCAACAAGCUCCUUCGACAAGAUCAAUGCCAUGAAAAUGGAGACCGAAAUGCCCUUUUUUCAGUGGGUGUUUCGGUGACCCCCAGCUAUCUCAGAAUUUCUGCUACGUCACCAGAGUUACCCUCACAGACAUAGCUAAGAAUUGGGCUUGGAGAGCCCCACCGUGGGUCGCCAGCCUGUAUCACGAGACAGCCCAGGCGUCAGGGGUACGUGGACGUCACACGCCGCUCCAGCCACCAGCACAGGACACCGCAGAUCGGGGGGCUUAACCAAUGAUCUAUUUUUCACACUUCUGGAGGUCGAACAUCCAAGGUCAGGAAACAGUACGUGUUUAUAUUGUAGAAGAUCAGGAUUAGGGGUGUGGUCAUUUGAUUC
This 614-nucleotide long non-coding RNA is filed under the name Felis catus (domestic cat). RNAcentral describes it as "lncRNA (ENSFCAG00000048140.1)". Lineage: Eukaryota; Metazoa; Chordata; Mammalia; Carnivora; Felidae. The record is from RNAcentral.